GCCAGCCUGGUGUAGUGGUCGGAGCAUUGGACUUUGAAUCUGGAGACCAGGGUUUGAAUCCCAGCUCGGUCA
This is a non-coding RNA of Phrynosoma platyrhinos (Desert horned lizard), 72 nucleotides long. Lineage: Eukaryota; Metazoa; Chordata; Lepidosauria; Squamata; Phrynosomatidae. The record is from the annotation of a GenBank genome assembly.